GACGAACGCUGGCGGCGUGCUUAACACAUGCAAGUCGAACGGUGAAGGUGGAGCUUGCUCCGCCGGAUCAGUGGCGAACGGGUGAGUAACACGUGGGCAACCUGCCCCUGACUUUGGGAUAACUCCGGGAAACCGGGGCUAAUACCGGAUAACAUUUUGAACCGCAUGGUUCGAAAUUGAAAGGCGGCUUCGGCUGUCACUUAUGGAUGGACCCGCGUCGCAUUAGCUAGUUGGUGAGGUAACGGCUCACCAAGGCAACGAUGCGUAGCCGACCUGAGAGGGUGAUCGGCCACACUGGGACUGAGACACGGCCCAGACUCCUACGGGAGGCAGCAGUAGGGAAUCUUCCGCAAUGGACGAAAGUCUGACGGAGCAACGCCGCGUGAGUGAUGAAGGCUUUCGGGUCGUAAAACUCUGUUGUUAGGGAAGAACAAGUGCUAGUUGAAUAAGCUGGCACCUUGACGGUACCUAACCAGAAAGCCACGGCUAACUACGUGCCAGCCGCCGCAGUAA
RNAcentral lists this ribosomal RNA (513 nucleotides) under uncultured bacterium. Its description in RNAcentral is "partial 16S ribosomal RNA". It matches the Rfam family "Bacterial small subunit ribosomal RNA", at positions 28 to 523 of the family's 1533-position model. The record is from RNAcentral.